CUGGGGGACCUUGGACACAUCUCUCUACCUUUCAGGCUUCGUUUACUAAUCUGUAAAAUGCAGCAUUGGUUCAGGUGACCAAGGAAGCCACUUCCAAGCUUCCAUUCAAGAUCUCCAAGGGGGUGACGUUGGAAGGAAGAGGAGAAGAAAGAGAAAUGGGUAACCACGAAGGGCCUAAAAGAGAGAUCUUUUCCCUCUUCUACAGAAUACUCCGAGGGAGGGGUCAAAGAACAAGGGCCGCAGACAAUAAACGGUGAGCGGCAGCCAGAACCUUUCGGCUAGGGCCCCGGGCUAACAAUGGGUUGCUAAGUUGCUGGGAGGGCCUCAAGGAUACCUUGCAGGCGCCGCCCCUUGACAACAGCAUCCUCUGGGCCCCCGGCCUCUCCUCACAAAGGAAUCCCACAGCCGCGGAAGAUUGUCAACAUUUAGCCAAACCACAAGGCAGAGGAAAACUACAGACCCUAUUAAAAAGAACAGCUGAUAUGGGGCCACUAUAAUUUCCCGAAUGAUGUUUAAAAAAAAAAAGAAAAGAAAAGAAAAAAAUUCAAGUAGGCAAAUGAGGAACCGGGAACUCCAGCGGGCCCCAACCCCCCCCCCCCCUCCCCUGUACGCCUGAGCCCUGAUUAGAUGCUCUAAGAAAGGGGAGAAAGAGAAAAGCAGGGGCCUGAGGCAAAACGCUUAUCAAAGAGGCAGAUCAGUGUUCUAGGCCGAGGGACCUUGCCUGGGAAAGGUUUUACCAAUUAAAAGGCCCUUGAAAUAAGUAAAUAAAUAAAUCUCCAGUUAGUUAACCGGCUCGGAGUUGGGGGGAAAAUGUCCCGGGGCUUUCUUCUAAAUGAGCUAUCACCUCUACCCUGGCCUUUGAGUAAACUGAAGGGAGGCAAUUAGGACGCCAAUCCGCCCCGGCCCUCCCCACCGCCAGCGCUCCCAGGCCCCCACUCACUGGGGCUUGUCAGUAAUGUGAUCUGAAAGAGAUAAAGCCCAAUUUCCCCAGCUCCUAGAGCUGAUAAACACCAAACCAAAGGCCGGCUCUGUUCACUGGGUGAUAAUUAAAGCCCUCAGGAAUCCGAGCAGUGCAAUGGUCAAAAGGACAAGGACAAACCCGAGCUUUGCCAAUGCCAUUCUGGGGUUUCUCUAAGCCACCUCCUCUUGGGUCGGAAUGUAACCCAAAGGGAUUAGUAUUUUCCCAUCCAUGUCUUUAAAGGGCACAACCAGACCAUAUCAGCACAUGAUUAACCUGGCUAACAUAUAACUCGAAGGCCACAAACACAGAAGGAAAUCAUUCCCUGCUUUAGAAAGAAUCGAGUUUAAGGAAUAUAAAAUGUGGAGGGGAUUCUGUCCUGACCAAAAAAAAAAGAGCCCCAAAGGGCAGAAAGGAGGCAGCUCUUCUGAAAAAAGCAAGGUGGAGGAGUCUUACAAAUGAUUAGUUUUUGUAGAGAAAGUCCUAUUUUCUGGAUUACCAGGAAAUAAGAAUUUUGUAUAUUACUUUUUUCUUUCUUUUUCUUUUCUUGUUUUUCUUUGAUUUUUGUUCUGUUUUCUUUUUUGUUUCUUUUUCUUGUUUCAUUUUGUUUUUUGUUGUUUUCUUUUUUGGUCUGUUUUUCACCACAUGGCUACUAUAGAAAUAUAUUUUGUGUGACUACAUGGAUAGUCUAUAUCAUAUUGCUUGUCUUCUCAUUUAAGGGAGAGGAGGAGAAAGAGCAUUUGGAACUAAAAUUAAAAAAAAUGAAUAUUAAAAUUAUUUUUAUGUAAUUGGAAAGAAAAUAGAUUUUAAAAGAACAUUUUAUUUUUUCUUCUAGUCACACCCUAAUUUUAUUUAUUUUUUAAUUUGAAUUUCUAUUUAAUUAAUUAAUUUAGAAUAUUUUUAUGUUCUUUCCUUCCCCUCAUUACACCUCCCUCCUGUAGCCAACAAUUCCACUGGGUUUUACAUGAGUCAUUGAUCAAGAUCUGUUUCCAUAUUAUUAAUAUUUGUAUUGACCCAUGUGAUCAAGCAGUUGUUUUCCUUCUGUUUUUCUACUCCCACAGUUCUUUCUCUGUAUGUGGAUAGUGUUAAAAGAACAUUAAAAAAAAAAAGAAUUUGCAUGCAUGGUAAGGUAGGUAAGACAUACAUGGCAGGCUUUCAGUCUAUCCCAGGGUUUCCUAGUCGUCCUAAAAAUAAAAACUCAACACUUAGUGCUUUAAGGUCGACAAAGGGCUUCCUUCCUUCUUGUCUCAUUAGCCCAACAAAGAGGCAGUCUGAGUUCAGUGGAGAGGUUGGUUUGAUCACACUGCCAAUGUGAUCUUGAAUAACUCAUUUAAUCCUGGGAACCUCAGUUUCCUCAUUUAUAUAAUGACGGGUUUGUUGACUGCCAAAAGGGUGAAGGUGUGUGGAAUGGGAUAAUAUUUGUGCCAUGAUUUAUAACACCCAGAAAUGCAGUCCCUCUUCAUAGUUACUAAAUUGUAAAGGAGACAAGAGCCCCUAUGUUUUUGUCAAGUGAAUUAUUAAUAUAGUUGUACAGUAUUGAAGCAGAAUAGAUGAAACAACUGGAUCCAAAUGUAUAAGCUAUUAAAUAAUAAUCUCUGACAGGGACCUUUCUU
Monodelphis domestica (gray short-tailed opossum) is the source of this 2571-nucleotide long non-coding RNA. RefSeq lists it as uncharacterized. NCBI's taxonomy places the organism in Eukaryota, Metazoa, Chordata, Mammalia, Didelphimorphia, Didelphidae. The record is from RefSeq and is a predicted model, not a curated record.